CCUACGGGUGGCAGCAGUGAGGAAUAUUGGUCAAUGGGCGCGAGCCUGAACCAGCCAAGUCGCGUGAGGGAAGACGGUCCUAUGGAUUGUAAACCUCUUUUGUCGGGGAGCAAAAGACGCCACGCGUGGCGUUCCGAGAGUACCCGAAGAAAAAGCAUCGGCUAACUCCGGGCCAGCAGCCGCGGUAAUACGGAGGAUGCAAGCGUUAUCCGGAGUUAUUGGGGUUAAGUGGUGCGCAGGCGGAAGAUCAAGUCAGCGGUAACAUUGAGAGGCUCAACCUCUUCGAGCCGUUGAAACUGGUUGUCUUGAGUGAGCGAGAGGUAUGCGGAAUGCGUGGUGUAGCGGUGAAAUGCAUAGAUAUCACGCAGAACUCCGAUUGCGAAGGCAGCAUACCGGCGCUCAACUGACGCUCAUGCACGAAGGUGUGGGUAUCGAACAGGAUUAGAUACCCGAGUAGUC
This 459-nucleotide ribosomal RNA is filed under the name uncultured bacterium. RNAcentral describes it as "partial 16S ribosomal RNA". It matches the Rfam family "Bacterial small subunit ribosomal RNA", at positions 338 to 795 of the family's 1533-position model. The record is from RNAcentral.